GGUAGAAACGCUGGCGGCGUGCCUAUACAUGCAAGUCGAGCGAACUGAUUAGAAGCUUGCUUCUAUGACGUUAGCGGCGGACGGGUGAGUAACACGUGGGCAACCUGCCUGUAAGACUGGGAUAACUCCGGGAAACCGGAGCUAAUACCGGAUAACAUUUUCUCUUGCAUAAGAGAAAAUUGAAAGAUGGUUUCGGCUAUCACUUACAGAUGGGCCCGCGGUGCAUUAGCUAGUUGGUGAGGUAACGGCUCACCAAGGCAACGAUGCAUAGCCGACCUGAGAGGGUGAUCGGCCACACUGGGACUGAGACACGGCCCAGACUCCUACGGGAGGCAGCAGUAGGGAAUCUUCCGCAAUGGACGAAAGUCUGACGGAGCAACGCCGCGUGAGUGAUGAAGGCUUUCGGGUCGUAAAACUCUGUUGUUAGGGAAGAACAAGUACAAGAGUAACUGCUUGUACCUUGACGGUACCUAACCAGAAAGCCACGGCUAACUACGUGCCAGCCCGCCGCGGUAA
Molecule: ribosomal RNA, 516 nt
Filed under: Priestia flexa
Lineage: Bacteria; Bacillati; Bacillota; Bacilli; Caryophanales; Bacillaceae
Description: bacterial SSU rRNA
Rfam family: Bacterial small subunit ribosomal RNA
Source: RNAcentral